Ovis aries (sheep) is the source of this 108-nucleotide ribosomal RNA. NCBI's taxonomy places the organism in Eukaryota, Metazoa, Chordata, Mammalia, Artiodactyla, Bovidae. The record is from Rfam.
GUCUACCACCAUACCACCCUGAACGCACCCAAUCUCAUUUGAUAUUGGAAGCUAAGCAGGGUCAGGCCUGGCUAGUACUUGGAUUGGAGAAAAUUUUAUUAUUACAUU